CUAAGCAGGGUCUUCUCUAAAGCCUCUUGCUCUAAAAGGGAAAGGAUGAGUAGGACAAGAUCUUCUCACAUUUCCCCAUCACUUGGCAUCAGAGAAUGAAAACAGCUCCAGCAUGUGUGAAUCAUUAGUCACUCUCAGCAAAUGGAGAAACCCUGCAGGGGUAAAGAGAGAACGGAAAGGGCAUCGCAUCUAAACCCUGGAGUAAUGUUUCACGUUUGAACAACCUACAAGCGCCUUCUUUGUCUGUUCCAAAGCUAGGAAGGACUGGGUGCUAGUAGGGUUCCGUUUGGAAAGAAAGACAUUGAACCUGGUGCUGAACGGGAGAGAAACUCACCCCCCACAAGAGAAACGUGGAUGAAAUCCAAACAAGAAGUAACACAAGAGCUUCCAAAGCAGACAUCCAAGUUCUACGAAGCGUGAAAAAAAAUUUCUCCGUGGUCUCCCAUCCAGGAAGGAACCAAGGCCAACUUGCUCGGUUUCCGAAUUUAUUUCUCUGGCCCCCGUUGCUGCUGCUGCUACUACUAAGUCUUUACUUGCUUAAUGCACCCCACUUUAGGGGUUCGUCCGGCCAAACCGUGAGAUCGGCUCAUCAAACAUGCUGUUGGUGUGGCUGGCUGGUUUGUGGCCUGAAGGUUGUGUGUGUGUAUGUGUGUGUGUACCCAAAGAGAGAGAAGAGCAGAGUGGGUGGCUGGAGAGGAGGGAAGUUGGAGGAGAUACCACUCUUGAAGGGCCAUCAAGCCUUCACACCUUCAAGAGUGGCUCCGAGAUCUGGCAAACCCCCGGAUACGCCAUUAGCUCCAUUCGCAGGACACAUUGAACCCACAACUCAAAUACCCUUCAGCUUAGCCGGGUUUGUGGAUGUAGCCAAAGGUUACGCGUAGUGUGUUUGGCCAACCUCGUCCGUUGGGCUUUGCAGGACAUGGCUCUUAAGCAUGGGAAAGCAUGUGGCGGGGAUGGCAGCCAGAAAAAGCAGAGUCUGGGCCGUUUUAAUUUUUGCACUCAUGUAUCGCAGGAGGAAACAACCUGUGGCUGUUUGCAAAGCCAGCAUGUGAGAGAGGGAGAGGUUUGACUGAUUGAUCCUAACCAGGAUUGUUCUUCCUUGGAGCUAUCGAUGGCCCAACACGAGUUUUGCAUUUUGGAAAAAGCUUCAUGCUGCUUCUUUUUCCCCUAAAAGUAGCCUUUCUUUUUUUUUUAAGAGCUGAACUUUGUGAACUGGUCCCAUAAAGGCCAGAAGGUUGGAGAGAGCAAGGAAGUCAAUUGGUGACUCAAGAUUGAUGCUGUGUUGUUAUGUAAACAUUUCAAUUCCUGCCUUAUUUUUUUUACACAAGUUGAAGAUAAAAGGUUAGAUUUGGGGUACUUUUUUAAAGAAAAAUGCCAUGUAGCCAUGAACUCCUUCAGCUGGGGCCAUAUGUGUUUCCAACUUGACGGUGCUUCCACUCGGUGGUGUAAAAUCCAGGUGAUUUAUAGGUUUGGUGGUUAAAUUUUUAACAGCUGAGCCAUCUUACAUAGGCUCAUAAAGCUAAAACAUGCAAAAAAGUAUCCCCCAAAGAGCUCAAUUCAUAGAACAAAGACCAUUAAAACACAUUCAAAGCAAUUAAGCUAUUAAAUGCAACUACCUUUCAAAAAGACCUUGGCUAUGUGUCAGAUUGGUCUAACAAGUGGCAACUUCAACCAACAAAUGCUCUGUCUUGCACAUGUCUGGCAAACAAAAUCAAAACAAAAUACAAAUGGACAUGACCUUGUAGAUGACCCUCACUCUGUCAAGGACCUUGGAGUACUCAUUUCUAAAUAUCAAAGUGACAGAACUCACUGUAACAGCAUUGCCAAAAAGGCAUUAAGAGUUGUCAAUUUAAUCUUGCGUAGCUUCUUCUCUGGUUUGCGUCAACUACCUGACCUUCGGACCUUUCGCCGUGAAUUGAAAACGUAUUUGUUCAUCCAAGCGGGACUGGCUUAAUUUUUAAUUUUUAAAUUCUGAAAUCUGAAUUUUAAUCAUUUUAAAUUGGGGUACUGUGUUUUAUUGGGGUCAAUUGGACGGUUUUACAUUUAAACUUUUAAAUUUUUCAGCCGUUGUAUAAUAUGUUAUUUUAAUUUGUUGUUUUAAUAUUGUAGAUUGUAUAUUUUAAUUUGGCUGUACACCACCCUGAGUCCUUCGGGAGAAGGGCGGUAUAAAAGUCUAAAUAAUAAAUAAUAAUAAAUAAUAAAUAAAUAAAUAUUGUACUACUAACUAGAGCAUACAAAGCAAUUUGCUUGUGUGUCCAAUCAACUUGGCCAAUAAAUUUUAUCCUAUCCUGUUCUAUUCUAUUCCUUAUUCUAUUCCAUUCCAUUCCACUCCAUCUAUUCUAUUCUGUUCUGUUCUUAGGCCUGGUCAGUGAGCCCAUUAUUCGAGAAAGGAUAAACAGGCUAAGUCAAAUAUGUUGCCUCCACUGUCAAAGGACACCCAGAGUUGAAGAUCAGAAGACAUUUAACGUUGUGCCUUGUAGAGCCAUCGGGACAAUUUCCAACUCUGUGAAGUUAUUCAGCGGUGUGAGAUUUACAGCUGCAAGACAAAACGUGACUUUAAAAAAACACAACGAAGUCCACCGAUCAAGGAAUAAAUUAGUUUAAAAACACAUGUUCGCGGGGAGUGAAAAACCACGUGGACGCAUCCAAUUCG
Long non-coding RNA from Ahaetulla prasina, 2653 nucleotides. RefSeq lists it as uncharacterized. The transcript has 4 exons. NCBI's taxonomy places the organism in Eukaryota, Metazoa, Chordata, Lepidosauria, Squamata, Colubridae. The record is from RefSeq and is a predicted model, not a curated record.